AGUGAACGCUGGCGGUAGGCCUAACACAUGCAAGUCGAACGGCAGCACAGUAAGAGCUUGCUCUUACGGGUGGCGAGUGGCGGACGGGUGAGGAAUACAUCGGAAUCUACUUUUUCGUGGGGGAUAACGUAGGGAAACUUACGCUAAUACCGCAUACGACCUACGGGUGAAAGCAGGGGAUCUUCGGACCUUGCGCGAUUGAAUGAGCCGAUGUCGGAUUAGCUAGUUGGCGGGGUAAGGGCCCACCAAGGCGACGAUCCGUAGCUGGUCUGAGAGGAUGAUCAGCCACACUGGAACUGAGAAACGGUCCAGACGCCUACGGGAGGCAGCAGUGGGGAAUAUUGGACAAUGGGCGCAAGCCUGAUCCAGCCAUACCGCGCGGGUGAAGAAGGCCUUCGGGUUGUAAAGACCUUUUGUUGGGAAAGAAAAGCAGCAGGUUAAUACCCCGCUGUUCUGACGGUACCCAAAGAAUAAGCACCGGCUAACUUCGCG
RNAcentral lists this ribosomal RNA (492 nucleotides) under uncultured bacterium. Its description in RNAcentral is "partial 16S ribosomal RNA". It matches the Rfam family "Bacterial small subunit ribosomal RNA", at positions 29 to 507 of the family's 1533-position model. The record is from RNAcentral.